UACGUAGGGACCAAGCGUUGUUCGGAUUUACUGGGCGUAAAGGGCGCGUAGGCGGCGCGGUAAGUCACUUGUGAAAUCUCUGAGCUUAACUCAGAACGGCCAAGUGAUACUGCAGUGCUAGAGUGUGGAAGGGGCAAUCGGAAUUCUUGGUGUAGCGGUGAAAUGCGUAGAUAUCAAGAGGAACACCUGAGGUGAAGACGGGUUGCUGGGCCAACACGUGACGCUGAUGCGCGAAAGCCAGGGAGCAAACGGG
This 253-nucleotide ribosomal RNA is filed under the name uncultured bacterium. RNAcentral's name for it is "partial 16S ribosomal RNA". It matches the Rfam family "Bacterial small subunit ribosomal RNA", at positions 524 to 776 of the family's 1533-position model. The record is from RNAcentral.